GCACAAGCGGUGGAGCAUGUGGUUUAAUUCGACGCAACGCGAAGAACCUUACCAGGCUUGACAUCCCCUGACCGCGUAUGAAAGUACGUUUUCACCCUCGGGUGACAGGGAGACAGGUGGUGCAUGGUUGUCGUCAGCUCGUGUCGUGAGAUGUUGGGUUAAGUCCCGCAACGAGCGCAACCCCUACGUUUAGUUGCUAACGCGUGAAGGCGAGCACUCUAGACGAACUGCCGUUGACAAAACGGAGGAAGGUGGGAUGACGUCAAAUCAUCAUGCCCCUUAUGUUCUGGGCUACACACGUGCUACAAUGGCCGGUACAGACGGACGCAAAGCCGCGAGGUGGAGCAAAUCCUAAAAAGCCGGUCUCAGUUCGGAUUGCAGGCUGCAAUUCGCCUGCAUGAAGUCGGAAUCGCUAGUAAUCGCAGGUCAGCAUACUGCGGUGAAUACGUUCCCGGGCCUU
Molecule: ribosomal RNA, 460 nt
Filed under: uncultured Pelotomaculum sp.
Lineage: Bacteria; Bacillati; Bacillota; Clostridia; Eubacteriales; Desulfotomaculaceae
Description: bacterial SSU rRNA
Rfam family: Bacterial small subunit ribosomal RNA
Source: RNAcentral